This 204-nucleotide unclassified non-coding RNA is filed under the name Hevea brasiliensis (rubber tree). Lineage: Eukaryota; Viridiplantae; Streptophyta; Magnoliopsida; Malpighiales; Euphorbiaceae. The record is from RNAcentral.
UCCGCGGAGCGGUCAGGGCGCCGGCGCGGAAUGCCGGCGUUAAGCUCUCAUUCGGCCUUUGCGGACGGCAGGAUGAGGGAGGUAACCGUGUGGAUGACGAUGGCACCGCUGGAGGCGGCCCAGAGAUCCACCUCCCUGCUGUUCUCCCGGAGUCGUCGCUUGUUGUCUCUGUUGACGAGUGGCAGACUGUCAGAUCCGGCGGGG